CAGAAUAAGCCCUACUAGACCUGGCUACAAAUAUUAAACCUUGCCCGAACCAACAACCAUUUCAGUCGUUGGACUCCAAGCGUAGUGCAGUAGCAUUUCUUCAAAAGGUCCACUCACAAUUCUACUAUCUGUCGUAACUGCAAUCUGAGACAUAUCUACACCAUGAAGACUGCCUAUAUCAUAGUUGCGCUGGUGAUAGCCAUCGGGUUGCUCCAACCUUCGGAUGCCCUGGAUAUUUGCGACGAUAUUCCUUGUCCCGUCAAACAGCAAAAACGCAAUGCCAUAGCAGCUCGACGAUCGUCCAAAUUCGAAGUGAUGGAAGAGGCGAGUGCAAGAAAACAAGCAGAAUAAUGAAUGCCGUAUUGUACAGGUUUCGUUCCACGUGAGUGCGUCACAAGAGUUCAAAAUAUGAUGUAUUACCACAAUACUAAAUAAAUCACAAAUAAUUACA
This is a long non-coding RNA of Lineus longissimus, 451 nucleotides long. RefSeq lists it as uncharacterized. The transcript is spliced from 3 exons. Lineage: Eukaryota; Metazoa; Nemertea; Pilidiophora; Heteronemertea; Lineidae. The record is from RefSeq and is a predicted model, not a curated record.